RNAcentral lists this ribosomal RNA (412 nucleotides) under Coptotermes remotus. Its description in RNAcentral is "16S ribosomal RNA". It matches the Rfam family "Bacterial large subunit ribosomal RNA", at positions 2074 to 2699 of the family's 2925-position model. Lineage: Eukaryota; Metazoa; Arthropoda; Insecta; Blattodea; Rhinotermitidae. The record is from RNAcentral.
UAUGGGACGAGAAGACCCUAUAGAGUUUGACAUUUGGUUUAUUUGUUUGUUGGUUGUUUGUUUAUUUUGUUGGUGAAUGGGCUUUUUGUUUUGUUGGGGUGAUGAGAGGAAUGUAGUUAACUCUUCUUUGUUUUGAUUAUAUUUAUUUAUAGUUAUUUGAUCCAUUUAUUUUGAUUAUAAGACUAAAUUACCUUAGGGAUAACAGCGUUAUCUUCCUUGAGAGUUCUUAUCGGCAGGGGGGUUUGCGACCUCGAUGUUGGAUUAAGGUGAAUUUUUGGUGUAGGGGCUGAAAGUUGUAUUGGGUCUGUUCGACCCUUGGAAUCUUACAUGAUCUGAGUUCAAACCGGCGUGAGCCAGGUUGGUUUCUAUCUAUAAAUGUAAUUUUAUACCUUAGUACGAGAGGACCAGGUAU